GGAGGGCAUUGUUUCUCCCACCCUUCUCUCCACAAGCGAAACAAAGGAAGACAAAGACUUCAUUUUAUGCCUCAGAGCGGACGGACAAUGGCGCAAUGAGUGACGAUGCCGCGUACUGCACGGCGCAGCUGUCUCGUCCCUGCUUUGGUUUCUUGAUCCCCCUGCGCGAGAAAAAGAGGCCGCGAUGGUCGCAGAGAACAGCAGAGCGCCGACAAUGCGGCUUCCACGGCUUUUAACUACAAGGAGCACUUCCUUCUCCAUCGAUUGGCUGUCACCGUGGCAACGCGUCACACCUGGACUACAGUUCAUUGGACGGUUUCUUUGAAUUCUGCCCCCAAGGUUCCAAGGACCAGCACACUUGGCCUGCUGCCAGCAGCCGUUCAUGCAUUCCCUUGUAUGAAAUAAAUUUGAUCUAGAAGCUCUUG
This is a long non-coding RNA of Dermacentor andersoni, 425 nucleotides long. RefSeq lists it as uncharacterized. NCBI's taxonomy places the organism in Eukaryota, Metazoa, Arthropoda, Arachnida, Ixodida, Ixodidae. The record is from RefSeq and is a predicted model, not a curated record.